GCCCCCGAACGCUUUAGCCAGAUGAGCAGCGGUUUUUUAAGCCGUGGAAGCAGGUGCGAUUCCUGACGGGGGCA
This 74-nucleotide transfer RNA is filed under the name Planctomycetaceae bacterium. Its description in RNAcentral is "tRNA-Lys". Lineage: Bacteria; Pseudomonadati; Planctomycetota; Planctomycetia; Planctomycetales; Planctomycetaceae. The record is from RNAcentral.